UACGAAGGGGGCUAGCGUUGUUCGGAUUAACUGGGCGUAAAGCGCGCGUAGGCGGGUUUUUAAGUCAGGGGUGAAAUCCCAAGGCUCAACCUUGGAACUGCCUUUGAUACUGGAAAUCUUGAGUCCGGGAGAGGUGAGUGGAACUGCGAGUGUAGAGGUGAAAUUCGUAGAUAUUCGCAAGAACACCAGUGGCGAAGGCGGCUCACUGGCCCGGUACUGACGCUGAGGUGCGGAAGCGUGGGGAGCAAACAGG
RNAcentral lists this ribosomal RNA (253 nucleotides) under uncultured bacterium. RNAcentral's name for it is "partial 16S ribosomal RNA". It matches the Rfam family "Bacterial small subunit ribosomal RNA", at positions 524 to 776 of the family's 1533-position model. The record is from RNAcentral.